Molecule: ribosomal RNA, 752 nt
Filed under: uncultured bacterium
Lineage: Bacteria
Description: bacterial SSU rRNA
Rfam family: Bacterial small subunit ribosomal RNA
Source: RNAcentral
AGAGUUUGAUCAUGGCUCAGAAUCAACGCUGGCGGCGCGCUUAACACAUGCAAGUCGCACGAGAAAGGGAGCAAUCCUGAGUAAAGUGGCGCACGGGUGAGUAACACGUGGAUUAUCUACCUUUUAGUGGGGAAUACCUCUGGGAAACCGGAGACAAUACCGCAUAAGCCUGUAAAGGGAAAGCAGCAAUGCGCUGAAAGAGGAGUCCGCGGCCGAUUAGCUAGUUGGCGGGGUAACGGCCCACCAAGGCGAAGAUCGGUAGCCGGCCUGAGAGGGCACACGGCCACACUGGCACUGAAACACGGGCCAGACUCCUACGGGAGGCAGCAGUGGGGAAUCUUGCACAAUGGGCGAAAGCCUGAUGCAGCGACGCCGCGUGAGCGAUGAAGCCCUUCGGGGUGUAAAGCUCUUUCGACGGGAACGAUAAUGACGGUACCCGGAGAAGAAGCUGCGGCUAACUACGUGCCAGCAGCCGCGGUAAUACGUAGGCAGCGAGCGUUGUUCGGAAUUACUGGGCGUAAAGAGUGUGUAGGCGGUGUUCCCAGUCUGUUGUGAAAUCUCCCGGCUUAACUGGGAGGGUGCAGCGGAAACUAGAAUGCUAGAGGGUGGGAGAGGUAAGCGGAAUUCCUGGUGUAGCGGUGAAAUGCGUAGAUAUCAGGAGGAACACCUGGUGUAGACAGCUUACUGGACCACUUCUGACGCUGAGACACGAAAGCGUGGGUAGCAAACAGGAUUAGAUACCCUAGUAGUCC